CGAGCGUUAUCCCGGAAUUAUUGGGUUUAAARGGGUGCGUAGGCGGAAUGGUAAGUCAGCGGUGAAAUACUGCAGCUCAACUGUAGUUGUGCCGUUGAUACUGUCAUUCUUGAGUAUAGAUGAGGUAGGCGGAAUGAGUAGUGUAGCGGUGAAAUGCAUAGAUAUUACUCAGAACACCGAUUGCGGAAGGCAGCUUACUAAACUAUAACUGACCGCUGAAGCACGAAAGCGUGGGUAUCAAACAGGAUUAGAUACCCUGKUAGUCCCACGCUGUAAACGAUGAUU
RNAcentral lists this ribosomal RNA (285 nucleotides) under uncultured bacterium. RNAcentral describes it as "partial 16S ribosomal RNA". It matches the Rfam family "Bacterial small subunit ribosomal RNA", at positions 535 to 814 of the family's 1533-position model. The record is from RNAcentral.